AACAAGCGACUAAAUCUGUAUUAUCAUUGUGCACCUGUAUCGGUACAAAACAGAUAGUUUCAACUAUUGUAUGCAGGAGAGUUGUAGUAAUACUGAUUAGUUCAUAUUUCUUUAUCAUGCCGUUUAUAGUUGGAUUCAUGGAAAAGACUAGAUGUAAAGCACCAACAUUGUUCAGUUUAGCUGGGGUGAUAUGUGGUCUCCUUAUUAAUUUUGUAUGGUCAGAAGAGAAAGGACUUCAAAACAACAAUCAUAAUGACCACAUGCAAGUUGGAGAAGAAGCUACAGAAAGAUUACAAGAAGAAUCUAUAUAAAGGCAUCGUAAUGCUUUUUGAUGAAAAGUUCCCUCAAACAUACAGUAAGAGGUAUUGGAAGACGUGACACAUAAACUCGUAAAUGUUUGCAAGAUAUUAGAUUGAAGUCAACAAGUUGUGUUUGGAUAGACUGAUAAAAUUAUGCGUGGUUAUUUGCUAACGAUAAAUGAGGAACUUUUGAUGAGAUACUCUGACAUGAAAUGAUGUACCACACGAAAUCAAUUUUGAAAAAAAAUGCACUGAUCGUCUUUGAGGUUUCUCACAUUUAUGGAAUCUGAAAUUAUUUGAGCAAAUAUCUAUCUAUUUAUAUAAAAGACAAAUGCCAGACAAUACGUUAUGGGCAAGCACAUGUCAACAAUGAUUAAAAAUCUUUAAUUGUUUGAACAUGUAUAUAAGUCUCAUAAUAUAUUCAGUGAUCGCUGUGUACUAUGUCAUUUGCAUAACGGUGGUUAGCUUCUUGAAAUGGAACCAAUAUUGCUUCUGUGAUUUUAACUUUUAAAUGAACAUGGAAGGGCAAAAGUGCUCACAUUUGAGCCUCAAUGUUGUACCUAUUUACUAGCGACUUCAUUACAACAUGUAUUUUUCCAUAGGGUACAUAAACGAAUGUUACAUUUU
Mytilus californianus (California mussel) is the source of this 926-nucleotide long non-coding RNA. RefSeq lists it as uncharacterized. The transcript has 5 exons. The record is from RefSeq and is a predicted model, not a curated record. NCBI's taxonomy places the organism in Eukaryota, Metazoa, Mollusca, Bivalvia, Mytilida, Mytilidae.